RNAcentral lists this ribosomal RNA (2538 nucleotides) under Triticum aestivum (bread wheat). RNAcentral describes it as "partial small subunit ribosomal RNA". The record is from RNAcentral. Lineage: Eukaryota; Viridiplantae; Streptophyta; Magnoliopsida; Poales; Poaceae.
AUGUACAAGUAUAAGUAUGGUGAUCGACACAUAACUAUCUACAUCGGUCCAUGCCUCCAUCUACCUAGCCGUCGCGACUCAUCUGGCAGUGCCGCCGCCUCCUCGACCCUAGGCGACGAAUUCAUCAUCUGGUGCCCCGGCCGGCAGCCGCCAGCAAAUAAGCAGCCAGGCAGCAUCUGCAGUCCUCGGUCACCCCGCACAUCUCCACCGCACGUAGGCGCGCCCCCACACGCAACUACGGAACGACUUCGUCUUCGACCCCGAGCAGCUGAUACAGUGGUCACGCCAUUAGUACGCACGACCAGCUACGGGCUUAGCGCCUUCGACGAAGCGAUCGUACACUACAGACCAACCGAUCCAUUUUUUUUAUCUGAGACCAGCCGAUCCUACUCCCGCCUGCCGCAUGCGUCCCGUUGCCCUGCGAUCGGCAUCGACCAGAGCGCCAUGUUCGAUGAACCAGAGCUAGUUCUUGCAGUCGAUUCAGAGUCGUCGUCGAUGUUUCAAAUCCACUUCCGAGCUUGGAGCCAUGUCCUCGAAACAGGAAACACCACCUUCUUAAGCAUCUCUGCACCAAUCCUUGUUUCCCGGUUUCUGCAAACCUACAUGACACACCUUCACACGCCUUCUGACCUCGCUAGACGCACGAGCUGCCGCCUCACCUCCCUAAGCAGGACACAUACCCUAACCAAACUAAAAGAACACCUAAAAAUGAAACAUGAGUCCUCCCGCCAACAAGGGCCAGAUCCAUCACGCCUCCAUGACAGUAAGUCACAUGAGAUGAGGCAGACUAGUGGCGGUGCCGGCGGGGAGGGAGCAAUCAAGCCCCCCCCCCCCACGGAGGGCAUCUCCUUCCUCUCGUCGGGAAGAAGCAGGACGGCGGCAGUUGGGCGGAGCUGCAGGCGAGGAACGGCAGCGGCCGCCGCCGUCUUGAGGCCUCGUCUGCUCGGCGCCUCCGGCAAGCUGAUGCCCGCAACCAGCAGGCCCCUCACGCCGCCGUCCCCUGCCUCCACUUCUUCUCCUUUCUUCUCUCUUGUUCUCUGCAGGAAGCCGCCAUGGAUGGAUGGAGUUCCAGCGCGCCGCCUAGCUUGCCUACACCCCCACCUCCGGCCACCUACGCUCGCCGCCGUCCCGUUCCCGUCCAGACGCGAGGACAACGGCACUCGGAGCGCAAGCCUGCGACCCAUGCCCGCCUCCGUUUGCCGCCUGCAGGGCGCCUCCUGUGGCGGCCUUGAGCGCCGCCGCGACGGCCUCGUGCAGAAGACAACGAGCGAGGCGCCCUCCCUCCUCCCGCGCAUUGUCGAUGAACUUCCGGCUGCCGUCCCAGCGUUGCCCCGGCUGCGUCGAGCUUUCCAAGGGCGUCACCCCGCGUGCUACAGAGAAGGAGGCGUGCCGCCGUCCCAGCGCUGCCCUAGCUGGUCGCUGAGCAGUGUGGCUCCCAGUAGAGUCGGGGUCGUAGAGGAGGGCGCGGCCUUGUGGUCCAUAGCUUGCCGGAGCUUCAAAGUGCGACCCGGGCGCGCCGAGCAGGAGGCCAAGGCGCUGUGCCGCGGGCACGCCGAGCAGGAGGCCGUGGGGCUGUGCCGCAGGCGCGCCGACCUGCUCGCGGUCACCGUCCGCCACCACGACACGCUCAGGGGAACGCACGCCGCGCUCGACUGCUCGCUCAUGUCCAUCUCCUGCCUGCUCCACCUCCUCCUCGUCUCCAUGUCCGCCCUGCCGGGGCUCACGCUCCCUGCCACGGCAUCCCGAUGCGACUCAAAAAAAUUCGCCUUACAGCGCCACCGUAAGCCCCCGCCGCCAGCCCACAAGGGAGUCCCGGCCGCCGGUUCUCCGAUGCUCUUCGCCUCCCUCGAAGGUCGGAUCUCGCCGCCGUCCCGAACUCGCCGGCUCUCUCCACCCAUGAGGUCUCAUCUCUCCCAAGGAUCCUCUCCAACCCGAAGUUCCUCGCGGAGGGCACCGACUGACACCGGCAUGCGGAGGCGAGGCAGGCCGCCCCUCCUCCGACUGUCCAACCAUAGCAGCGUGGCUCCUCCGACGAGCGAAGGGGCUCUCCUCUCCCAUCGGCCGGCGCCUCGACUCCGACUCCUACAGCUCGCGCCGGACAACAUCCUCCGCCCCCAAAUCUUAACACACUGUAUUCCUCCGGACAUCGUCGUGAACCUCCAAGAAGAUAAGCCAACCUUCAUGUGUAUCUCCCGUUAUAUCUCUACUCUAUUCUUCUCUGCUCUGUUUUUCAGGAAGAAGUUGGAUUGGUGGUCGUUUCCGGUUUUCAGCAUGCAGAUGGGUAUGCCAACGGUUGUUCCUUGGUUGAACUAUGCAACGCAUCUCGCUGAAUUCCAAGCAGUACUAUUUUGGGUUAGUAGUUUAUAUUCAUGCCUGAAUAUGUUCGAGAUGCAUUGCAUUGCGGCACCAUCAACGGUUCAGCCGACUGUCAAACACACAGACGCGCCGCACAUCGAAGGCGAAAGGCGCCCAACUCUCAAGGGUGGAAGCAGAAAAAAAAGAAGCCAUUGGAAUAAUCGGAUCCUUUUCAGGGGCUAA